RNAcentral lists this ribosomal RNA (497 nucleotides) under uncultured bacterium. Its description in RNAcentral is "partial 16S ribosomal RNA". It matches the Rfam family "Bacterial small subunit ribosomal RNA", at positions 28 to 507 of the family's 1533-position model. The record is from RNAcentral.
GAUGAACGCUGGCGGCGUGCCUAAUACAUGCCAGUCGAGCGAACGGACGAGAAGCUUGCUCCUCUGAUGUUAGCGGCGGACGGGUGAGUAACACGUGGAUAACCUACCUAUAAGACUGGGAUAACUAUGGGAAACCGUAGCUUAUACCGGAUAAUAUUUUGAACCUCAUGGUUCACAAGUGAAAGACGGUCUUGCUGUCACUUAUAGAUGGAUCCGCGCUGCAUUAGCUAGUUGGUAAGGUGACGGCUUACCAAGGCUACGAUGCAUAGCCGACCUGAGAGGGAGGACGAGCAGACGGGCAGUGAGAAACGGCACACACUCCUGCGGGAGGCAGCGGUAGGGAAUCUUCCGCGAUGGGGGAGUGCCUGACGGAGCAACGCCGCGUGAGUGAUGAAGGUCCUCGGAUCGGAGAACUCUGUUAUUAGGAGAGAACAUAUAUUUAUGUAACUGUGCACAUCUUGACGGUACCUGAAGAAAAAGCCACGGCUAACUACGUG